RNAcentral lists this long non-coding RNA (1103 nucleotides) under Homo sapiens (human). RNAcentral describes it as "long non-coding RNA NONHSAT164228.1". Lineage: Eukaryota; Metazoa; Chordata; Mammalia; Primates; Hominidae. The record is from RNAcentral.
CAUAAGAAGGUAAGAAGGCUGCAGCUUCCACCGGGCCUCUUGGGCUGUGUACUCUUGACACUCUUGCUCUGAGAACUAAGCAGGCAUAUUUCAUAUCAAAAUAGUAAAGAACUUCCUUUCCAAAGGCAGGACUUGCUUCUGUGAGGUACUGAGCCACCCGUCCCUGGAGGAAAGCAAGAACAGAGCAGAUCAGAGCCCAGGCAGACAUCUUGGAUGAUGGGUGAGAUCUUCCUGGGGUUCUUGCUGUACCUGCUGACAAGGGGCAGCUCUCUCUAAAUGCCACGGAGCUGGAAGGCUGCAGCCUGGAACUUGCUGCAGCCCACCCAGGGUACAUCUUGCCAUCCAGAGGCAAUGCUGGAGCGGGCAGUUGUCUGCGGGGAGGCCCUGGCUCACUCUGGGCCAAAUAACAGGACUGAUUGCAGCCUGCGAUGAAACAUCCUGUUUCUCCCAACCAGAAACAGGUAGAGGAGAGAAGAGCCCCAGUGAGAGAGUGAAGCAGAUGAAAAGAUAACAUGAAAACCAACCAAGCAACGAACAGACAAACAAAAUAACCCAUUUCAAGUUCUCGGAGCCUGGUCUCAUUUCCAGCCGGAAAUUACUGCUGCAGACUGCAGGGUGCUCCCUGCACUCCCUGUGUAUAUGAUCUAGUGGUUGCUAAUGUGGAGCUGCUUUAGGAUGGAAGAUGAGGCUUGCUUUUUCUUUCUCCUAGAAGUCAGCAUUUUACAUGAUUCUGGGAGGGAAGAAAGGAGACAGGAACCAAGGAGCCUGAGUGGGGAUUUGCCCACCACUGGGCAGCCAGGCUCCCGUCAGGAAGGCUUUUCAGAGGGAGUGUUGGAAGGAGUCGUCGAGGAGUCUUCCUCACCCAGGAAGUCUUCCUCACCGGGUGAGCCCCAACCUGCUGGACCUGCUCAGAAUUUGCCCAACAGGGGAUCCUGGUUGACUGAGGUCUGCUAAUUCCAACUGGCCUACGCUAAAUUCUCCCAGAAUGUCUUCAUCAUCAAUGAAUCGCUUUCCACUGACACGACGCCUGGAAGAACAUAAACACUGUGAGGAUAAAUGCCAAUGAAAUAAUAAUAAAAUAAACUUUCUUUGGUGGCCAGAGG